GAAUAUUUUCAAGACAUAUAUAUAUAUACGCUCAAAACCAAUAUAUAGACAAAGAAGUGUUUUGUUCUCCAUCCACCACCUUUUUUAGCCUGCCAACCUUCCUCUUCACUAAAGUACUCCCUUGUUCCCCAUCCUCCUUAUUCUUGCUUGGCCUUCCGACCUACUUCCUUUCUCCCGGUGGCACUACAGAACUACUCACCUCUUUCUUGUUCUUCUUCUUUGGUUUUGGAAUGGGUUUAUUCGAGUAGAUUUCAUAAAGUAUAGAAUUAGUUACCACGAUAACCGAUCAUAAUGAUCUCUUAAAUUCCUUAUCAAUAUAGUAUUACAAUCCCA
This 333-nucleotide long non-coding RNA is filed under the name Carica papaya (papaya). Its description in RNAcentral is "long non-coding RNA (CPAP_LNC000555)". Lineage: Eukaryota; Viridiplantae; Streptophyta; Magnoliopsida; Brassicales; Caricaceae. The record is from RNAcentral.